UAGGGAAUCUUCCACAAUGGGCGCAAGCCUGAUGGAGCAACACCGCGUGAGUGAAGAAGGGUUUCGGCUCGUAAAGCUCUGUUGUUAAAGAAGAACACGUAUGAGAGUAACUGUUCAUACGUUGACGGUAUUUAACCAGAAAGUCACGGCUAACUACGUGCCAGCAGCCGCGGUAAUACGUAGGUGGCAAGCGUUAUCCGGAUUUAUUGGGCGUAAAGAGAGUGCAGGCGGUUUUCUAAGUCUGAUGUGAAAGCCUUCGGCUUAACCGGAGAAGUGCAUCGGAAACUGGAUAACUUGAGUGCAGAAGAGGGUAGUGGAACUCCAUGUGUAGCGGUGGAAUGCGUAGAUAUAUGGAGGAACACCGGUGGCGAAAGCGGCUCUCUGGUCUGUAACUGACGCUGAGGCUCGAAAGCGUGGGGAGCGAACAGGAUUAGAUACCCUGGUAGUCCACGCCGUAACGAUGAGUGCUAGGUGUUGGAUCCUUUCCGGGAUUCAGUGCCGCAGCUAACGCAUUAAGCACUCCGCCUGGGGAGUACGACCGCAAGGUU
This 548-nucleotide ribosomal RNA is filed under the name uncultured bacterium. Its description in RNAcentral is "bacterial SSU rRNA". It matches the Rfam family "Bacterial small subunit ribosomal RNA", at positions 355 to 895 of the family's 1533-position model. The record is from RNAcentral.